UCCACUUCCCGGGUGAUCGCGGGGUUUUCGUUUCGAUGAAGGCCUCGAGGAAAGUCCGGACACUACAGGGUGGCGCGCCUUGCGAAAGCGAGGGACGGGUCGGCGAAAGCCGGUUCGGACGGAAAGUGCAGCAGAAAAAAUACCGCUUCCUGCCUCGGCAGGGAGUAAGGGUGAAAAGGUGGGGUAAGAGCCCACCGCUCCAAGGGNAACNGAGGAGGCAUGGCAAACCCCGCGUNGUGCAAGACAGAACAGGGGAAGGGUUACCCGCCCGCAGUAUCCCCGGGUAAUAGUCGCAUCCUGCUUCGGCNGGAUCCGNCCAAGGUAACGCGGGCGGAAGAGAAAUGAUUGCCACCCUGUGUCGGCCAAAGGUUCGACACGGGAGACAGAAUCCGGCUUACAGGGGAGUGGACUGC
RNAcentral lists this RNase P RNA (413 nucleotides) under Roseibacillus sp. RNAcentral's name for it is "RNase P RNA component class A". It matches the Rfam family "Bacterial RNase P class A". From Rfam's summary of the family: Ribonuclease P (RNase P) is a ubiquitous endoribonuclease, found in archaea, bacteria and eukarya as well as chloroplasts and mitochondria. Its best characterised activity is the generation of mature 5'-ends of tRNAs by cleaving the 5'-leader elements of precursor-tRNAs. The record is from RNAcentral. Lineage: Bacteria; Pseudomonadati; Verrucomicrobiota; Verrucomicrobiia; Verrucomicrobiales; Verrucomicrobiaceae.